Long non-coding RNA from Oncorhynchus tshawytscha (Chinook salmon), 686 nucleotides. The record is from Ensembl. NCBI's taxonomy places the organism in Eukaryota, Metazoa, Chordata, Actinopteri, Salmoniformes, Salmonidae.
UAUCUGUAAGGACAGUGUUCUAUUUGCAGAGUGUCUAAGCCAGAGAUAAGACUGCUUUUUAGUGUACUACCCCUCUGUGUCACCCUGUAAUGAAUACCUGCUUUAUGGUCCAGGGCAAGGACACCUGGCACACACAGGCAGAACGCCUGCGCGGGGUAUGUCAAUGGUUUUUACCUUUCAGACUAGAGAACAAAGUACACAGGAGAGACACCUGUGACAUACAUUAUUUUGGAUACACAAUUCUGUGAAUAUUAUUGUCAACACCAAAGGGCCUAAAUCUAGCGAAACAACUACCUGGGUGGGUGAACAAACGUGGAGGAACUGGGCUCUGAGGAUUUAAUGGAUACUGUUUGCCAAAUGGAUUGUACCUGAAGUCGGAGAGAAGGUUGUCAACGGAACUACCAGCCAGGACUCCAUUUUGGAGAAAAGGUUGUCAACGGAACUACCAGCCAGGACUCCAUUUAGGAGAGAAGGUUGUCAACGGAACUACCAGCCAGGACUCCAUUUAGGAGAAAAGGUUGUCAACGGAACUACCAGCCAGGACUCCAUUUUGGAGAAACGGCAGCUGAUCACCAUGGAGCCCCCGGAGGACUCCCAGUGCCCGUUGAUGUUCUGGGAGAGAAUGAAGCAUUGCAGCAGUUCUUUGACGGAUGCCAGGAUAUGAGUGGGGUCCUGAGAGUGCGGUG